RNAcentral lists this ribosomal RNA (253 nucleotides) under uncultured bacterium. RNAcentral describes it as "partial 16S ribosomal RNA". It matches the Rfam family "Bacterial small subunit ribosomal RNA", at positions 524 to 776 of the family's 1533-position model. The record is from RNAcentral.
UACGGAGGGUGCAAGCGUUAUCCGGAUUCACUGGGUUUAAAGGGUGCGUAGGUGGGUUGGUAAGUCAGUGGUGAAAUCUCCGUGCUUAACCCGGAAACUGCCAUUGAUACUAUUUGUCUUGAAUACUGUGGAGGUCAGCGGAAUAUGUCAUGUAGCGGUGAAAUGCUUAGAUAUGACAUAGAACACCAAUUGCGAAGGCAGCUGGCUACACAAAUAUUGACACUGAGGCACGAAAGCGUGGGGAUCAAACAGG